RNAcentral lists this ribosomal RNA (252 nucleotides) under uncultured bacterium. Its description in RNAcentral is "partial 16S ribosomal RNA". It matches the Rfam family "Bacterial small subunit ribosomal RNA", at positions 524 to 776 of the family's 1533-position model. The record is from RNAcentral.
UGCGGAGGAUGCGAGCGUUAUCCGGAUUUAUUGGGUUUAAAGGGUGCGUAGGCGGAGUGCCAAGUCAGCGGUAAAAGUUCGGGGCUCAACCCCGUCGUGCCGUUGAAACUGGCGCCCUUGAGUGGGCGAGAAGUAUGCGGAAUGCGUGGUGUAGCGGUGAAAUGCAUAGAUAUCACGCAGAACCCCGAUUGCGAAGGCAGCAUACCGGCGCCCGACUGACGCUGAAGCACGAAAGCGUGGGUAUCGAACAGG